UACGUAGGGUGCAAGCGUUAUCCGGAAUUAUUGGGCGUAAAGAGCUCGUAGGCGGUUUGUCGCGUCUGCUGUGAAAACUGGAGGCUCAACCUCCAGCCUGCAGUGGGUACGGGCAGACUAGAGUGCGGUAGGGGAGAUUGGAAUUCCUGGUGUAGCGGUGAAAUGCGCAGAUAUCAGGAGGAACACCGGUGGCGAAGGCGGUUCUCUGGCGAUUACCUGACGCUGAGGAGCGAAAGCGUGGGGAGCAAACAGG
RNAcentral lists this ribosomal RNA (253 nucleotides) under uncultured bacterium. RNAcentral describes it as "partial 16S ribosomal RNA". It matches the Rfam family "Bacterial small subunit ribosomal RNA", at positions 524 to 776 of the family's 1533-position model. The record is from RNAcentral.